Molecule: long non-coding RNA, 230 nt
Organism: Lutra lutra (Eurasian river otter)
Lineage: Eukaryota; Metazoa; Chordata; Mammalia; Carnivora; Mustelidae
Exons: 3
Source: RefSeq, a predicted model, not a curated record
UAUCUUCUCCCAUUCUGUCAGUUGUCUUUUGGUUUUUUUUGGAUAGCUCUUUCAGUUUUGCCCAAAACCUGGUUAUUAGGAAUGGCUGGUCCACUCUGGUAGUCCCCAGUUGACCUGCGGCUUUUCACUGAUUUUCAUCGCCAAAUCCUUCUGAAUCAGCCCCUUGUUCUGCCGGCCCUGCUGGAUCACCUUGCCCACCUCCAGGGUAUCUGGUCUUGGUACAGCUUCUC